Molecule: RNase P RNA, 390 nt
Filed under: Candidatus Cloacimonadota bacterium
Lineage: Bacteria; Pseudomonadati; Candidatus Cloacimonadota
Description: RNase P RNA component class A
Rfam family: Bacterial RNase P class A
About the family: Ribonuclease P (RNase P) is a ubiquitous endoribonuclease, found in archaea, bacteria and eukarya as well as chloroplasts and mitochondria. Its best characterised activity is the generation of mature 5'-ends of tRNAs by cleaving the 5'-leader elements of precursor-tRNAs.
Source: RNAcentral
AAAGAAGAUAAAAUGUCUGCCUGUUACCCUGGGGUGACAGGAGGAAAGUCCGAACACCAAAGGGCAGGAUACUUCCUAACGGGAAGUUCUGGCAACAGAAAGCUAGCUCCACAGAAACAAACCGCUUCGGAUUUAUUCCGGAGUAAGGGUGAAAUGGUGGUGUAAGAGACCACCAGAUACCGGUGUGAACCGGUAUGCUCGGAAAGCCUUAUCCGGUGCAAUGCCAAAUAGGAGGGAAGAACUGCCCGUUCGAUUAUCCCUCGGGUGGGCAGCUAAAAUCGGUUCGGCUAACGAAUCUCCGUAGAGAAUAGCAAUAUCCGAUUUAGAGAAAUAGACAUUGAAUUACCUGUUAGGUAAUUUACAGAAUUCGGCUUAAUAUCUUCUUUGACA